UACGUAGGGUGCGAGCGUUGUCCGGAAUUACUGGGCGUAAAGAGCUCGUAGGUGGUUUGUCGCGUUGUUCGUGAAAACUCACAGCUCAACUGUGGGCGUGCGGGCGAUACGGGCAGACUGGAGUACUGCAGGGGAGACUGGAAUUCCUGGUGUAGCGGUGGAAUGCGCAGAUAUCAGGAGGAACACCGGUGGCGAAGGCGGCCAUCUGGACCGCAACUGACGCUGAGGCGCGAAAGCGUGGGGAGCAAACAGG
This 253-nucleotide ribosomal RNA is filed under the name uncultured bacterium. RNAcentral describes it as "partial 16S ribosomal RNA". It matches the Rfam family "Bacterial small subunit ribosomal RNA", at positions 524 to 776 of the family's 1533-position model. The record is from RNAcentral.